RNAcentral lists this ribosomal RNA (606 nucleotides) under uncultured bacterium. RNAcentral's name for it is "bacterial SSU rRNA". It matches the Rfam family "Bacterial small subunit ribosomal RNA", at positions 8 to 645 of the family's 1533-position model. The record is from RNAcentral.
AGGGUUUGAUUAUGGCUCAGAACGAACGCUGGCGGUACGCUUAACACAUGCAAGUCGAACGGCAUCAGGCCCGCAAGGGUGCUGGCGAGUGGCGAACGGGUGAGUAACACGUGGAUGACCUACCUUGAGGUGGGGGACAACAGCUAGAAAUGGCUGCUAAUACCGCAUAUCUCCUAAGGGAUAAAGGCGCAAGUCGCCUUAAGAUGGGUCCGCGUUGGAUUAGCUAGUUGGUGAGGUAAUGGCCCACCAAGGCGACGAUCCAUAGCUGGUCUGAGAGGAUGAUCAGCCACACUGGAACUGAGACACGGUCCAGACUCCUACGGGAGGCAGCAGUGGGGAAUAUUGCGCAAUGGGGGAAACCCUGACGCAGCGAUACCGCGUGGGUGAAGAAGGUCUUAGGAUUGUAAAGCCCUUUCAGUGGGAACGAUUGUGACGGUACCCACAGAAGAAGCACCGGCCAACUCCGUGCCAGCAGCCGCGGUAAUACGGAGGGUGCAAGCGUUGUUCGGAAUUACUGGGCGUAAAGGGCACGUAGGCGGUCAGAUAAGUCAGGAGUGAAAUGCAAAGGCUCAACCUUUGGACUGCUCUUGAAACUGUUUGACUUGA